RNAcentral lists this long non-coding RNA (1351 nucleotides) under Ursus maritimus (polar bear). RNAcentral's name for it is "lncRNA (ENSUMAG00000014305.1)". The record is from RNAcentral. Lineage: Eukaryota; Metazoa; Chordata; Mammalia; Carnivora; Ursidae.
GAAUUACUUCCCUCUCUGAAUCUGUUCUCUCCUCUGGGAAGAAAGGAGAACGAACGUUCCUUUCUUACUUGCCUUGCAGGGCUCUUGCAGAGAUUAAAUAGAAGUAUGCGCCCCGCUCAGAACUUCAUUCCCUUUUUAUCUAUAUGGUCAAUAGGUUUCGGUUUUGGUAAAAAGCCUACAAAAUGAUCAUGUCUAGUGGGGAUGCUCAUGCUUCCAUUUGGAGCGUUUAAGGGGCAAUAUUUCAAGACCACACCAGCAUCCUGGGAGCAAACAGACAACCAUGUGAUUUCAGAGAUCUUAGAACCUCAUUGAAGUGCUGCGAUUUUGAUCUUGUUUGUUUUACAAAGAAAUUGGUGGGGGCGGGGUACUUUCCUAUUUUAACAAACGAACAACAAAGGGUGCUUGUCUGUCUCAAAUAGAGGCAAUCCUUUGUCCUAACAGUUACAUUUUCAUUAUUCUUGUAGAGAUUAUUGGUUAGAACAAGCAGUGCCCACCCUUGACUUUCCCAAUGGACAAUGAGCUUGCCUCCUGGAGAAGAAGAGAUCCGAAACUGUGGCUCCCAACUUCAGGUCAGCCUUCGCACCCUCCCCCGCCCCCACCAUCAGGCCCAUAGGCCAGCACAGCCUGCACCCCAUCCCACUCUAGACCAGCCUCAACGCAAACAUGAUGGGGGCAGCGUCUCCAGUGCAUGGUUGAAAGCAGCAUUCUCCAGAGAAUUUUCUGGAAAGGUGAAACACUUUGGGAAGCAGCAUGUUGAAACACGAAAGCACUGAAUUUGCAGGAAGCAGACGUCCAUCCAGAAGAUGAUGUUACCUUCGCUAUCUGUGUCCGUGGAGAAAGACCUUAAACUGUCCAAGCCUCCAUGUGUUUGACUGUUAUAAGGAUUAUGUGUAACAACACGUAGUAAACUUGGAACUUCUACCAAGUGUUCGCUGAUGCCAGCACGUUGCCAGACAUGAGAUGACUUAUUUAAAGAACAACUGUGUGAGGCUCUGGAACAUGUUUCUCUGAUGUUUCGGAUGAAUUGUUCUACGUGAAUAUCAGGCUAUGGUCCAUCACUAUAUUAAGAUUUUUCUUAAGUUGCUAGUCAUUGAUUUUUAAUGUUAACCCAUCUAAUAUAUAAUUUCAUAUAUAAAUCAUGGGUUACCAGAGUCAGAGGGCCCUUCGAAAUGACCUCACCCAGCCUGUUUCAAGGGGAGUUUUGCUCAAAGUCCUGUUUAGUUUUGGUAAACUGAAACAAGAUGGCCCACAGGGUUCCUGAGUUCCUGUAUCCCAUUUACUUCAACUAGAAGAAAAUUAAUUACCCUUUAUGACACAACGGCAAACCAAAUAAAGUCUAUUCUCCUGCCCA